GAAAUGCGAUAAUUAAUGUGAAUUGCAGAAUUCAGUGAAUCAUCGAGUCUUUGAACGCACAUUGCGCCCCCUGGUAUUCCGGGGGGCAUGCCUGUCCGAGCGUCAUUGCUGCCCUCAAGCACGGCUUGUGUGUUGGGCUUCCGUCCCUGGCAACGGGGACGGGCCCAAAAGGCAGUGGCGGCACCGUGUCUGGUCCUCGAGCGUAUGGGGCUUUGUCACCCGCUCCCGUAGGUCCAGCUGGCAGCUAGCCUCGCAACCAAUCUUUUUAACCAGGUUGACCUCGGAUCAGGUAGGGAUACCCGCUGAACUUAAGC
Molecule: unclassified non-coding RNA, 314 nt
Filed under: plant metagenome
Description: partial contains 5.8S ribosomal RNA, internal transcribed spacer 2, and large subunit ribosomal RNA
Rfam family: 5.8S ribosomal RNA (bases 1-105)
Source: RNAcentral